RNAcentral lists this ribosomal RNA (514 nucleotides) under uncultured bacterium. RNAcentral's name for it is "partial 16S ribosomal RNA". It matches the Rfam family "Bacterial small subunit ribosomal RNA", at positions 28 to 523 of the family's 1533-position model. The record is from RNAcentral.
GACGAACGCUGGCGGCGUGCCUAAUACAUGCAAGUCGAGCGGACCGAAGGGAGCUUGCUCCUUUAGGUUAGCGGCGGACGGGUGAGUAACACGUGGGCAACCUGCCCUGCAGACUGGGAUAACUUCGGGAAACCGGAGCUAAUACCGGAUAACACCGAAAACCGCAUGGUUUUCGGUUGAAAGGCGGCUUUUAGCUGUCACUGCAGGAUGGGCCCGCGGCGCAUUAGCUAGUUGGUGAGGUAACGGCUCACCAAGGCGACGAUGCGUAGCCGACGGGAGAGGGUGAGCGGCCACACUGGGACUGAGACACGGCCCAGACUCCUACGGGAGGCAGCAGUAGGGAAUCUUCCGCAAUGGACGAAAGUCUGACGGAGCAACGCCGCGUGAGCGAAGAAGGUCUUCGGAUCGUAAAGCUCUGUUGUCAGGGAAGAACAAGUACCGUUCGAACAGGGCGGUACCUUGACGGUACCUGACGAGGAAGCCACGGCUAACUACGUGCCAGCCGCCGCCGUAA